GAGGAUGUAGCUCAGUUGGCAGAGCGCUUGUCUAGCAUAUAUGAGGCCCUGGGUUAGAUCCCUAGCAACCCA
Molecule: transfer RNA, 72 nt
Filed under: Cricetulus griseus (Chinese hamster)
Lineage: Eukaryota; Metazoa; Chordata; Mammalia; Rodentia; Cricetidae
Rfam family: tRNA
About the family: Transfer RNA (tRNA) molecules are approximately 80 nucleotides in length. Their secondary structure includes four short double-helical elements and three loops (D, anti-codon, and T loops).
Source: Rfam by way of RNAcentral